CACCGCGGUCAUACAAGAAGCCCAAAUUAACCGUAUACGGCGUAAAGUGUGGUGUCAUGCUAUCACGAAGGCUAAGAUCAAAGUGCAACUGAGCUGUCAUAAGCACAAGAUGCACCUAAAACCACCCUUAAGACGAUCUUAGCACCCUCCCUAUGACUCAUUAAACUCCACGAAAGCUAAGGCC
RNAcentral lists this ribosomal RNA (184 nucleotides) under Anarhynchus mongolus. Its description in RNAcentral is "partial 12S rRNA". Lineage: Eukaryota; Metazoa; Chordata; Aves; Charadriiformes; Charadriidae. The record is from RNAcentral.